This 498-nucleotide ribosomal RNA is filed under the name uncultured bacterium. RNAcentral's name for it is "partial 16S ribosomal RNA". It matches the Rfam family "Bacterial small subunit ribosomal RNA", at positions 29 to 523 of the family's 1533-position model. The record is from RNAcentral.
AUUGAACGCUGGCGGCAUGCCUUACACAUGCAAGUCGAACGGUAACGCGGGGCAACCUGGCGACGAGUGGCGAACGGGUGAGUAAUGUAUCGGAACGUGCCCAGUAGUGGGGGAUAGCCCGGCGAAAGCCGGAUUAAUACCGCAUGAGACCUAUGGGUGAAAGCGGGGGAUCGCAAGACCUCGCGCUAUUGGAGCGGCCGAUAUCAGAUUAGGUAGUUGGUGGGGUAAAAGCCUACCAAGCCGACGAUCUGUAGCUGGUCUGAGAGGACGACCAGCCACACUGGGACUGAGACACGGCCCAGACUCCUACGGGAGGCAGCAGUGGGGAAUUUUGGACAAUGGGCGCAAGCCUGAUCCAGCCAUGCCGCGUGCGGGAAGAAGGCCUUCGGGUUGUAAACCGCUUUUGUCAGGGAAGAAAUCUUCUGGGUUAAUACCUCGGGAGGAUGACGGUACCUGAAGAAUAAGCACCGGCUAACUACGUGCCAGCCGCCGCAGUAC